CGCGCCCUUCGGGGUGAGCGGCGGACGGGUUAGUAACGCGUGGGAAUAUGCCCGACACUAAGGAAUAGCCUCUGGAAACGGAGAGUAAUACCUUAUACGCCCUUCGGGGGAAAGAUUAAUCGGUGACGGAUUAGCCCGCGUUAGAUUAGAUAGUUGGUGGGGUAAUGGCCUACCAAGUCUACGAUCUAUAGCUGGUUUUAGAGGAUGAUCAGCAACACUGGGACUGAGACACGGCCCAGACUCCUACGGGAGGCAGCAGUGGGGAAUCUUGGACAAUGGGCGCAAGCCUGAUCCAGCCAUGCCGCGUGAGUGAUGAAGGCCUUAGGGUCGUAAAGCUCUUUCGCCAGAGAUGAUAAUGACAGUAUCUGGUAAAGAAACCCCGGCUAACUCCGUGCCAGCAGCCGCGGUAAUACGGAGGGGGUUAGCGUUGUUCGGAAUUACUGGGCGUAAAGCGCGCGUAGGCGGAUUAGUCAGUUAGAGGUGAAAUCCCGGGGCUCAACCCCGGAACUGCCUUUAAUACUGCUAGUCUUGAGUUCGAGAGAGGUGAGUGGAAUUCCGAGUGUAGAGGUGAAAUUCGUAGAUAUUCGGAGGAACACCAGUGGCGAAGGCGGCUCACUGGCUCGAUACUGACGCUGAGGUGCGAAAGUGUGGGGAGCAAACAGGAUUAGAUACCCUGGUAGUCCACACCGU
RNAcentral lists this ribosomal RNA (690 nucleotides) under uncultured Alphaproteobacteria bacterium. RNAcentral describes it as "bacterial SSU rRNA". It matches the Rfam family "Bacterial small subunit ribosomal RNA", at positions 67 to 803 of the family's 1533-position model. Lineage: Bacteria; Pseudomonadati; Pseudomonadota; Alphaproteobacteria. The record is from RNAcentral.